This is a long non-coding RNA of Orbicella faveolata, 1169 nucleotides long. RefSeq lists it as uncharacterized. Lineage: Eukaryota; Metazoa; Cnidaria; Anthozoa; Scleractinia; Merulinidae. The record is from RefSeq and is a predicted model, not a curated record.
AGAGCAUGGCGAACGUGGCUAAACAUGAACGUCGUUCUGUGGUUUCUCUGAGGCAAAGAAAGCUGCUAAGUCAACGUCAAAGUCAACGCAUGGAACAUCGUCAUAUUCCUUCGUGGCAGUAAGUACAGGGCUUGAACAGCAGGACGUGGAGUCAAUGUUAGCUAAUGUUGCUUUACAAGAACAAGAAUGAUGGCCGCAAUCAGGAGCAACUUCAACUUCGAAGAAGUGGAUAGUUUAUUUCGUUACGAGUCUUCUCAAGUUGAGAGCUGAAGAAUUGAGCUAAAGAGAACUCUACAGUUGAAGUAAAGUCUGUGAAGAUGGAGCCUGUUCUUUAUAAGUACUUGAAGAGGCUGAGCACAAACUCUCAGUUGCAGAUUUUGUCCUAUCAGUUGAAUCGCAGUGGAGAUGAGAGGAGUGCUGCAUCUUUUAACAAUUCUUGCUUCUGAUGUUCAAUCCACAGUAUGGGUAGAGUGGUAUUAAAGGAACGUUUGGGCCAAACUGGCACAAAAACACUUUGGAUGUCAACAUCAGCAGCAGCUCAAGAUCCCUUCAGAGAACAUGAUUAUACAUGAACGACAAUUGGUUCUCAAAGAAACGUAUCACAUGUGGAACGGAUCGUUUUAGAUGCCAUGUACUUGGCUGAGGAUAACACAAUGCCAUAAAGCUGGAAAAAGAUAUCGUCAUACGCAUGGACAGACAGACAACAGGAUAAUGUUUUCUCAAAUCACAGGAAAAUAUCAAGCUUGGGAUAAGAGAAGCUGGAAUGGAAAAAAGGACAACUUCAGGAAUGACGCUUUUCAAUAAGGUUUCUGGAUGCUUUUGACGUUCAUUGCAAAACCAAAAGAAGAAAUCAGCCCAGUGGAAUUCAAGAUAAACACAAGUUUACUCAGAGGUAGAAAACAAACUAAACCAAGAGUUUACUUCAAGACUAAGUCGAAAGAAUCGCAGGGAAAAUUUGUCACCCAGUAUCAAGAUAGGACUGUUAUCAGAGCGAAUUAGUUUCUGCCAUUUUGAGCUGUUUGUGAAAUCAUAGCUUCGACUGAAAUUUAUCACUGGAAUAACACAAAUUUUCUAAAUAUAUUUAAUGUUGAAUUUUUUGUGUUAGUUUUUUCCUAAGUAACAUCGGUUUGAACGGUUUCAAUUUUCCCGCCAAAAGACUUAGAAAAAUA